UACAGAGGUCCCAAGCGUUGUUCGGAUUCACUGGGCGUAAAGGGUGCGUAGGCGGUCGGGUAAGUCUGAUGUGAAAUCUCCAAGCUCAACUUGGAAAUGGCAUCGGAUACUAUUCGGCUCGAGGAAUGGAGGGGAGACUGGAAUACUUGGUGUAGCAGUGAAAUGCGUAGAUAUCAAGUGGAACACCAGUGGCGAAGGCGAAUCUCUGGACAGUUACUGACACUGAGGCACGAAGGCCAGGGGAGCAAACGGG
RNAcentral lists this ribosomal RNA (253 nucleotides) under uncultured bacterium. RNAcentral describes it as "partial 16S ribosomal RNA". It matches the Rfam family "Bacterial small subunit ribosomal RNA", at positions 524 to 776 of the family's 1533-position model. The record is from RNAcentral.